UAUGGAUGCCUGAAUAUUUCCAGGUAGAUUUUAAUUGUUGAAGCUAAAUUGUUAUUGUAGUUCACACUCUCAUCUUGUGAAAUUCUUGGUUCUUCAGAUUUUCUCACUUAAUUUGGCAUUUCCACAUUUUCUGGAGUUAAAUGACAUGAUGAAACACAUUUUGAUUUUAUUUCAACAUCUUUUCAUCAAAGAAGCGUGUUGAUAUUUUUCUUUGGCAGGGAA
RNAcentral lists this unclassified non-coding RNA (222 nucleotides) under Hevea brasiliensis (rubber tree). Lineage: Eukaryota; Viridiplantae; Streptophyta; Magnoliopsida; Malpighiales; Euphorbiaceae. The record is from RNAcentral.